Molecule: ribosomal RNA, 916 nt
Filed under: uncultured bacterium
Lineage: Bacteria
Description: bacterial SSU rRNA
Rfam family: Bacterial small subunit ribosomal RNA
Source: RNAcentral
AGAGUUUGAUCCUGGCUCAGAUUGAACGCUGGCGGCAUGCCUUACACAUGCAAGUCGAACGGCAGCAUGAUCUAGCUUGCUAGAUUGAUGGCGAGUGGCGAACGGGUGAGUAAUACAUCGGAACGUGCCCUGUAGUGGGGGAUAACUAGUCGAAAGAUUAGCUAAUACCGCAUACGACCUGAGGGUGAAAGUGGGGGACCGCAAGGCCUCAUGCUAUAGGAGCGGCCGAUGUCUGAUUAGCUAGUUGGUGAGGUAAAGGCUCACCAAGGCGACGAUCAGUAGCUGGUCUGAGAGGACGAUCAGCCACACUGGGACUGAGACACGGCCCAGACUCCUACGGGAGGCAGCAGUGGGGAAUUUUGGACAAUGGGCGAAAGCCUGAUCCAGCAAUGCCGCGUGUGUGAAGAAGGCCUUCGGGUUGUAAAGCACUUUUGUCCGGAAAGAAAUGGCUCUGGUUAAUACCUGGGGUCGGUGACGGUACCGGAAGAAUAAGGACCGGCUAACUACGUGCCAGCAGCCGCGGUAAUACGUAGGGUCCAAGCGUUAAUCGGAAUUACUGGGCGUAAAGCGUGCGCAGGCGGUUGUGCAAGACCGAUGUGAAAUCCCCGAGCUUAACUUGGGAAUUGCAUUGGUGACUACACGGCUAGAGUGUGUCAGAGGGGGGUAGAAUUCCACGUGUAGCAGUGAAAUGCGUAGAGAUGUGGAGGAAUACCGAUGGCGAAGGCAGCCCCCUGGGAUAACACUGACGCUCAUGCACGAAAGCGUGGGGAGCAAACAGGAUUAGAUACCCUGUAGUCCACGCCCUAAACGAUGUCAACUAGUUGUUGGGGAUUCAUUUCCUUAGUAACGUAGCUAACGCGUGAAGUUGACCGCCUGGGGAGUACGGUCGCAAGAUUAAACUCAAAUGAAUUGACGG